Molecule: ribosomal RNA, 835 nt
Filed under: Phyllosticta citriasiana
Lineage: Eukaryota; Fungi; Ascomycota; Dothideomycetes; Botryosphaeriales; Phyllostictaceae
Description: LSU rRNA
Rfam family: Eukaryotic large subunit ribosomal RNA
Source: RNAcentral
GGAUUGCGUAGUAACGGCGAGUGAAGCGGCAAUAGCUCAAAUUGAAAGCUGGCGUCUUUGACGUCCGCGUUGUAAUUUGUAGAGGAUGUUUCGGCGAGGGCUCCUGCCUAAGUUCCUGGAAUGGGACGUCACAGAGGGUGAGAAUCCCGUAUGUGGCGGGCGGUCUUAGCCAUGUGAAACUCCUUCGACGAGUCGAGUUGUUUGGGAAUGCAGCUCUAAAUGGGAGGUAAAUUUCUUCUAAAGCUAAAUACCGGCCAGAGACCGAUAGCGCACAAGUAGAGUGAUCGAAAGAUGAAAAGCACUUUGGAAAGAGAGUUAAAAAGUACGUGAAAUUGUUGAAAGGGAAGCGCUUGCAACCAGACUCGUUCGCAGUUGCUCAGCCCGCCUCUUGGUGGGUGUACUCUUCUGCGGUCGGGCCAGCAUCAGUUCGGGCGGUCGGAUAAAGGUGUCGGGAAUGUAGCACCCUUCGGGGUGUGUUAUAGCCCGGCGCGGAAUGCGGCCAGCCUGGACUGAGGAUCUCGCUUCGGCAAGGAUGCUGGCGUAAUGGUUGUAAGCGGCCCGUCUUGAAACACGGACCAAGGAGUCUAACAUCUAUGCGAGUGUUUGGGUGUCAAACCCAUGCGCGUAAUGAAAGUGAACGGAGGUGGGAACCCGUAAGGGUGCACCAUCGACCGAUCCUGAUGUCUUCGGAUGGAUUUGAGUAAGAGCAUAGCUGUUGGGACCCGAAAGAUGGUGAACUAUGCCUGAAUAGGGUGAAGCCAGAGGAAACUCUGGUGGAGGCUCGCAGCGGUUCUGACGUGCAAAUCGAUCGUCAAAUUUGGGUAUAGGGCGAAAG